AUACGGAAGGUCCGGGCGUUAUCCGGAUUUAUUGGGUUUAAAGGGAGCGCAGGCGGAGAUGCAAGCGUGACGUCAAAUUUCGGGGCUCAACCCCGUCUCGCGUCGCGAACUGCGUCCCUUGGUUGCGGGAAGGGGAGGCGGAACUCGUGGUGUAGCGGUGAAAUGCCUAGAUAUCACGAAGAACUCCGAUCGCGAAGGCAGCCUUCCGGCCCGUCAACGACGCUCAUGCUCGAAGGUGCGGGUAUCAAACAGGAUUAGAUACCCUGGUAGUCCGCACAGUAAACGAUGGACACCCGCGGUUUGGCCUAUAUGGCUGAGCCGCCAAGCGAAAGCGUUAAGUGUCCCACCUGGGGAGUACGCCGGCAACGGUGAAACUCAAAUGAAUUGACGGGG
RNAcentral lists this ribosomal RNA (393 nucleotides) under uncultured bacterium. Its description in RNAcentral is "partial 16S ribosomal RNA". It matches the Rfam family "Bacterial small subunit ribosomal RNA", at positions 523 to 918 of the family's 1533-position model. The record is from RNAcentral.